CUCCCUUAAUUUUUAGGAUCUCUAGUUUGGUUUUCUUCUGGGGAGUUUUAAUUUGUUCAUUUUCAAGUUUUUUGAUUUGCGUUUCCCAAUUCAUUGAUCUCUGCCCUCCCUAAUUUGUUAAUAUAUGCACUCAGGGAUAUGAAUUUUCCUCUAAGUACUGCCUUGGCUGAAUCCCAUAAGGUUUGAAAGGAUGUCUCACCAUUGUCAUUUUCCUCAAUGAAAUUAUUGUUUCUAUGAUUUCUUCUCUAACUAACUGAUUUUGGAGUAUCAUAUUAUUUAAUUUCCAAUUAAUUUUUGAUUUGGCUCUCCAUGUACCCAUACUCAUCAAUAUUUUUAUUGCUUUAUGAUCUGAAAAGGUUGCAUUUAUUAUAUCUGCUUUUCUGCAUUUGAGUGCCAUGUUUCUGUGACCUAGUAUAUGAUCUAUUUUUGUGAAUGUGCCAUGUGGUGCUGAGAAGAAGGUAUAUUCCUUUAUUUCUCUAUUAACUCUAAUUUUUCUAAGAUUUCAUUCACCUCUUUUACCUCUUUCUUAUUUAUUUUUUUGGUUUGAUUCAUCUAAAUUUGAUAGUGGUUGGUUCAAGUCUCCCACUAAUAUGGUUUUACUGUCUAUUUCCUCCUUCAUUUCUCCUAGUUUCUCCAUUAAAAAUUUGGAUGCUAUUCCAUUUGGUGCAUACAUGUUGAUUAGUGAUAUUUCCUCAUUGUCUAUAUUCCCUUUUAACAGAAUAUAUUUACCUUCCAUAUCCCUUUUGAUCAGGUCUAUUUGUGCUUUGGCUUUUUCAGAUAUCAUGAUUGCAACUCCUGCCUUCUUUCUAUCUGUUGAGGCCCAAAAGGACUUUCUCCAUCCUUUAAUUCUAACCGUGCACUUUUGCAAAGCAGAUAAAAGGAAGAUCAAGCUCUGGCAGCAGUCUCUGAAGCAGUAGAAGGAUUUACUGUGACCACAAAUCAAUCUAAUUAUUUAUUGGAAAAGGAUUUUGCUAUUGUCAGACACCUUUUUUUAUUUAAACUUAUUUUAAUUAGAAUUGAAGCCAGGAAGAUAAAAUUUUUAAUGAUUAUGGUAAGGAGAAUAUAAAUAAGAUAGAGAAUAAAAAUACAGAAUUGACAUUUACUGUAUAAAGA
Molecule: long non-coding RNA, 1113 nt
Filed under: Monodelphis domestica (gray short-tailed opossum)
Lineage: Eukaryota; Metazoa; Chordata; Mammalia; Didelphimorphia; Didelphidae
Description: lncRNA (ENSMODG00000042977.1)
Source: RNAcentral